AGUGAACGCUGGCGGUAGGCCUAACACAUGCAAGUCGAACGGCAGCACAGUAAGAGCUUGCUCUUACGGGUGGCGAGUGGCGGACGGGUGAGGAAUACAUCGGAAUCUACUUUUUCGUGGGGGAUAACGUAGGGAAACUUACGCUAAUGCCGCAUACGACCUACGGGUGAAAGCAGGGGAUCUUCGGACCUUGCGCGAUUGAAUGAGCCGAUGUCGGAUUAGCUAGUUGGCGGGGUAAAGGCCCACCAAGGCGACGAUCCGUAGCUGGUCUGAGAGGAUGAUCAGCCACACUGGAACUGAGACACGGUCCAGACUCCUACGGGAGGCAGCAGUGGGGAAUAUUGGACAAUGGGCGCAAGCCUGAUCCAGUCAUACCGCGUGGGUGAAGAAGGCCUUCGGGUUGUAAAGCCCUUUUGUUGGGAAAGAAAGGCAGCAGGUUAAUACCCCGCUGUUCUGACGGUACCCAAAGAAUAAGCACCGGCUAACUUCGUG
RNAcentral lists this ribosomal RNA (492 nucleotides) under uncultured bacterium. RNAcentral describes it as "partial 16S ribosomal RNA". It matches the Rfam family "Bacterial small subunit ribosomal RNA", at positions 29 to 507 of the family's 1533-position model. The record is from RNAcentral.